This 463-nucleotide ribosomal RNA is filed under the name Aeromicrobium phragmitis. Its description in RNAcentral is "bacterial SSU rRNA". It matches the Rfam family "Bacterial small subunit ribosomal RNA", at positions 711 to 1174 of the family's 1533-position model. Lineage: Bacteria; Bacillati; Actinomycetota; Actinomycetes; Propionibacteriales; Nocardioidaceae. The record is from RNAcentral.
GGUGGCGAAGGCGGCCCCCUGGACAAAGACUGACGCUCAGGUGCGAAAGCGUGGGGAGCAAACAGGAUUAGAUACCCUGGUAGUCCACGCCGUAAACGAUGUCGACUUGGAGGUUGUUCCCUUGAGGAGUGGCUUCCGGAGCUAACGCGUUAAGUCGACCGCCUGGGGAGUACGGCCGCAAGGUUAAAACUCAAAUGAAUUGACGGGGGCCCGCACAAGCGGUGGAGCAUGUGGUUUAAUUCGAUGCAACGCGAAGAACCUUACCUACUCUUGACAUCCAGAGAACUUAGCAGAGAUGCUUUGGUGCCUUCGGGAACUCUGAGACAGGUGCUGCAUGGCUGUCGUCAGCUCGUGUUGUGAAAUGUUGGGUUAAGUCCCGCAACGAGCGCAACCCUUAUCCUUUGUUGCCAGCGGUUCGGCCGGGAACUCAAAGGAGACUGCCAGUGAUAAACUGGAGGAAGGU